CCUACGGGAGGCAGCAGUGAGGAAUAUUGGUCAAUGGUCGAGAGCCUGAACCAGCCAAGUAGCGUGAAGGAUGACUGCCCUACGGGUUGUAAACUUCUUUUAUAAAGGAAUAAAGUGCGGCACGUGUGCCGUUUUGUAUGUACUUUAUGAAUAAGGAUCGGCUAACUCCGUGCCAGCAGCCGCGGUAAUACGGAGGAUCCGAGCGUUAUCCGGAUUUAUUGGGUUUAAAGGGAGCGUAGAUGGGCUGUUAAGUCAGUUGUGAAAGUUUGCGGCUCAACCGUAAAAUUGCAGUUGAUACUGGCAGUCUUGAGUACAGGUGAGGUAGGCGGAAUUCGUGGUGUAGCGGUGAAAUGCUUAGAUAUCACGAAGAACUCCGAUUGCGAAGGCAGCUUACUAAACUGCCACUGACGCUGAUGCUCGAAAGUGUGGGUAUCAAACAGGAUUAGAUACCCUAGUAGUC
RNAcentral lists this ribosomal RNA (460 nucleotides) under uncultured bacterium. RNAcentral describes it as "partial 16S ribosomal RNA". It matches the Rfam family "Bacterial small subunit ribosomal RNA", at positions 338 to 795 of the family's 1533-position model. The record is from RNAcentral.